Molecule: non-coding RNA, 729 nt
Organism: Pelobates cultripes (western spadefoot toad)
Lineage: Eukaryota; Metazoa; Chordata; Amphibia; Anura; Pelobatidae
Source: the annotation of a GenBank genome assembly
UUAAUCCGUUUAAAAGCAAAUUGUAGAAAAUGGUACCUUGGUCCAAACAAAAUCACAUCACAAAUCUGAUAAUAUUUUUUAUAAAUGUUUAAUGUAAAAUGUCAUUGCACAUAUUUACAAAGUAGGAAAAAGACAGAAUCCAGAUGUUAUUAAUGACUAUUGUUAAAAUAGUCAAAAUGAAAUAUUUACUGACUCAGCUAUUUUUCAAGGUUACCACUUUCAAAGUUACACAGGCUGGAAAGAGACAUGCGUCGAUCAAGUUCCGACUUUCCCACAUCUAUUUUUGCUGUUGACCCAAAAGAAGGCAAAAUAAACAGUUUGAAGCUCUUCCAAUUUUUCAGCAAACUAGGAUAAAAUUGCUUCUUGACCCAGAAUGACAGUCAUAUCUCUCCUUGGAUCAAGGAGCUGUUACCCCAGAAAUUAAAAAUGAUAUCCCUGAAUUUUAUGUUUUUGCAGGUAUUUAAACAUCUGUACAGACUCUGAUAAAACCACCUCGACAGGCAGAGAAUUCCACAUCCUGAUUGUUCUUACUGUAAAAAAAAACAACUUUUAUUUUGCCUUAGACUAAAUCUCCUUUCUUACUGAGUGCCCAGUCCCCCAAUCUAUCUAAAUCCCUCUGCAGUGAUGUAAUAUCCUGCUCACAUUGUAUUACUUUACAGAGGUCAGUGUCAUCUGCAAAUACUGAAACAUGACUUACAAUGCCAAUUUCAAGAUCAUUUAUAUAUAUAU